Molecule: ribosomal RNA, 665 nt
Filed under: Cellulosimicrobium cellulans
Lineage: Bacteria; Bacillati; Actinomycetota; Actinomycetes; Micrococcales; Promicromonosporaceae
Description: bacterial SSU rRNA
Rfam family: Bacterial small subunit ribosomal RNA
Source: RNAcentral
GCUGGGUGGAUUAGUGGCGAACGGGUGAGUAACACGUGAGUAACCUGCCCUUGACUUCGGGAUAACUCCGGGAAACCGGGGCUAAUACUGGAUAUGAGCCGUCCUCGCAUGGGGGUGGUUGGAAAGUUUUUCGGUCAGGGAUGGGCUCGCGGCCUAUCAGCUUGUUGGUGGGGUGAUGGCCUACCAAGGCGACGACGGGUAGCCGGCCUGAGAGGGCGACCGGCCACACUGGGACUGAGACACGGCCCAGACUCCUACGGGAGGCAGCAGUGGGGAAUAUUGCACAAUGGGCGCAAGCCUGAUGCAGCGACGCCGCGUGAGGGAUGAAGGCCUUCGGGUUGUAAACCUCUUUCAGCAGGGAAGAAGCGCAAGUGACGGUACCUGCAGAAGAAGCGCCGGCUAACUACGUGCCAGCAGCCGCGGUAAUACGUAGGGCGCAAGCGUUGUCCGGAAUUAUUGGGCGUAAAGAGCUCGUAGGCGGUUUGUCGCGUCUGGUGUGAAAACUCGAGGCUCAACCUCGAGCUUGCAUCGGGUACGGGCAGACUAGAGUGCGGUAGGGGAGACUGGAAUUCCUGGUGUAGCGGUGGAAUGCGCAGAUAUCAGGAGGAACACCGAUGGCGAAGGCAGGUCUCUGGGCCGCAACUGACGCUGAGGAGCGAAAGCAU